Molecule: ribosomal RNA, 429 nt
Filed under: Acidobacteriota bacterium
Lineage: Bacteria; Pseudomonadati; Acidobacteriota
Description: Acidobacteria bacterium partial 16S ribosomal RNA
Rfam family: Bacterial small subunit ribosomal RNA
Source: RNAcentral
UGGGGAAUUUUGGACAAUGGGGGAAACCCUGAUCCAGCCAUCCCGCGUGUGCGAUGAAGGCCUUCGGGUUGUAAAGCACUUUUUGCAGGAAAGAAACGUCAUGGGUUAAUACCCCGUGAAACUGACGGUACCUGCAGAAUAAGCACCGGCUAACUACGUGCCAGCAGCCGCGGUAAUACGUAGGGUGCAAGCGUUAAUCGGAAUUACUGGGCGUAAAGCGUGCGCAGGCGGUUCGGAAAGAAAGAUGUGAAAUCCCAGAGCUCAACUUUGGAACUGCAUUUUUAUCUACCGGGCUAGAGUGUGUCAGAGGGAGGUGGAAUUCCGCGUGUAGCAGUGAAAUGCGUAGAUAUACGGAGGAACACCGAUGGCGAAGGCAGCCUCCUGGGAUAACACUGACGCUCAUGCACGAAAGCGUGGGGAGCAAACAGG